This 254-nucleotide ribosomal RNA is filed under the name uncultured bacterium. Its description in RNAcentral is "partial 16S ribosomal RNA". It matches the Rfam family "Bacterial small subunit ribosomal RNA", at positions 524 to 776 of the family's 1533-position model. The record is from RNAcentral.
UACGUAGGGUGCAAGCGUUGUCCGGAAUUAUUGGGCGUAAAGAGCUCGAAGGCGGCUUGUUGCGUCGACUGUGAAAACCCGCGGCUCAACCGUGUGGCUUGCAGUCGAUACGGGCAGGCUAGAGUUCGGUAGGGGAGACUGGAAUUCCUGGUGUAGCGGUGAAAUGCGCAGAUAUCAGGAGGAACACCGGUGGCGAAGGCGGGUCUCUGGGCCGAUACUGACGCUGAGGAGCGAAAGCGUGGGGAGCGAACAGG